RNAcentral lists this ribosomal RNA (253 nucleotides) under uncultured bacterium. RNAcentral's name for it is "partial 16S ribosomal RNA". It matches the Rfam family "Bacterial small subunit ribosomal RNA", at positions 524 to 776 of the family's 1533-position model. The record is from RNAcentral.
GACGAACCGUGCAAACGUUAUUCGGAAUCACUGGGCAUAAAGGGCGCGUAGGCGGCUCCAAAAGUCAGGGGUGAAAUCCGGCAGCUUAACUGUCGCAGUGCCUUUGAUACUGUGGAGCUAGAGGGAGGUAGGGGUCUGUGGAACUUCCGGUGGAGCGGUGAAAUGCGCAGAUAUCAGGAAGAACACCCGUGGCUAAGGCGGCUCUCUAGUACGGUACUGACGCUGAGACGCGAAAGCGUGGGGAGCGAACAGG